This 416-nucleotide ribosomal RNA is filed under the name uncultured bacterium. RNAcentral describes it as "bacterial SSU rRNA". It matches the Rfam family "Bacterial small subunit ribosomal RNA", at positions 30 to 489 of the family's 1533-position model. The record is from RNAcentral.
AGCGAACGCUGGCGGAAUGCUUAACACAUGCAAGUCGCACGGGCAGCAAUGUCAGUGGCGGACGGGUGAGUAACGCGUAGGAACAUGUCCGGAGGUGGGGGACAACCCUGGGAAACUGGGGCUAAUACCGCAUAUGUCCUGAGGGGCAAAGCCGCGAGGCGCCUUUGGAGUGGCCUGCGUCCGAUUAGCUUGUUGGUGGGGUAAUGGCCUACCAAGGCGACGAUCGGUAGCUGGUCUGAGAGGACGAUCAGCCACACUGGGACUGAGACACGGCCCAGACUCCUACGGGAGGCAGCAGUGGGGAAUAUUGGACAAUGGGCGCAAGCCUGAUCCAGCAAUGCCGCGUGGAUGAAGUAAGGUUUUCGGAUUGUAAAGUCCUUUCGGCGGGGACGAUGAUGACGGUACCCGCAGAAGAA